This 497-nucleotide ribosomal RNA is filed under the name uncultured bacterium. RNAcentral describes it as "partial 16S ribosomal RNA". It matches the Rfam family "Bacterial small subunit ribosomal RNA", at positions 28 to 507 of the family's 1533-position model. The record is from RNAcentral.
GAUGAACGCUGUCGGCGUGCCUAAUACAUGCAAGUCGAGCGAACGGACGAGAAGCUUGCUUCUCUGAUGUUAGCGGCGGACGGGUGAGUAACACGUGGAUAACCUACCUAUAAGACUGGGAUAACUUCGGGAAACCGGAGCUAAUACCGGAUAAUAUUUUGAACCGCAUGGUUCAAAAGUGAAAGACGGUCUUGCUGUCACUUAUAGAUGGAUCCGCGCUGCAUUAGCUAGUUGGUAAGGUAACGGCUUACCAAGGCAACGAUGCAUAGCCGACCUGAGGGGGUGAUCGGCCACACUGGAACUGAGACACGGUCCAGACUCCUACGGGAGGCAGCAGUAGGGAAUCUUCCGCAAUGGGCGAAAGCCUGACGGAGCAACGCCGCGUGAGUGAUGAAGGUCUUCGGAUCGUAAAACUCUGUUAUUAGGGAAGAACAUAUGUGUAAGUAACUGUGCACAUCUUGACGGUACCUAAUCAGAAAGCCACGGCUAACUACGUG